GCUACCAUGCAAGUCGACGAAGGCUUCGGCCUUAGUGGCGCACGGGUGCGUAACGCGUGGGAAUCUGCCCAAAGGUUCGGAAUAACUCAGGGAAACUCGAGCUAAUACCGGAUGAUGUCGCAAGACCAAAGAUUUAUCGCCUUUGGAUGAGCCCGCGUAGGACUAGCUUGUUGGUGGGGUAAUGGCCCACCAAUGCGACGAUCCUUAGCUGGUCUGAGAGGAUGAUCAGCCACACUGGGACUGAGACACGGCCCAGACUCCUACGGGAGGCAGCAGUGGGGAAUAUUGGACAAUGGGCGAAAGCCUGAUCCAGCAAUGCCGCGUGAGUGAUGAAGGCCUUAGGGUUGUAAAGCUCUUUUACCCGGGAUGAUAAUGACAGUACCGGGAGAAUAAGCUCCGGCUAACUCCGUGCCAGCAGCCGCGGUAAUACGGAGGGAGCUAGCGUUGUUCGGAAUUACUGGGCGUAAAGCGCACGUANGCGGCUACUCAAGUCGGGGGUGAAAGCCCGGGGCUCAACCCCGGAACUGCCCUCGAACUAGGUAGCUAGAAUCUUGGAGAGGCGAGUGGAAUUCCGAGUGUANAGGUGAANUUC
Molecule: ribosomal RNA, 592 nt
Filed under: uncultured Novosphingobium sp.
Lineage: Bacteria; Pseudomonadati; Pseudomonadota; Alphaproteobacteria; Sphingomonadales; Sphingomonadaceae
Description: bacterial SSU rRNA
Rfam family: Bacterial small subunit ribosomal RNA
Source: RNAcentral